This is a long non-coding RNA of Triplophysa dalaica, 1986 nucleotides long. RefSeq lists it as uncharacterized. NCBI's taxonomy places the organism in Eukaryota, Metazoa, Chordata, Actinopteri, Cypriniformes, Nemacheilidae. The transcript is spliced from 6 exons. The record is from RefSeq and is a predicted model, not a curated record.
CUUGUACUUCGGUACAGUAUUAACAAAUGACGAAAACGGGCAGGAUUCAUCAAAAAGUAAAUUAAACAAUUAACGUUAAACUCCGGCGGAGUCGCAUCAUCACCAUCCAGCUUUAACGUUACCUGAGUCACUGAGAAAGAGGAACGCUGAUGAAGCUUUUCUGAAUGAUCAUGAUGGGUCAGAGCCGCCCCAAGAAGAGAAGGAGACCUCUGGCUGAAUUCACGCCGGCACCUAUCGAAGGGCAUCAAACCCAAAUAUUUCUGUCCCAGAACCUGAGACUCCCGCAGAAUGUCGUGGAGCAAAGAGAAAAGCUGAUGAAGCUUUUCAUGAAGAUGAGUGGACAGAGCCGGCGCGCAGCGAAUGAGAUGUCUGACCGAUAGUGAGUCAGAACAUCUGACAUGGUCAUGGGGAAUCAUGCAAACCCCAAACUUUUCUCUAGCCAGAGGUUCCCACGCCAUUUUUUGUAAGAUAGGCAUUAUGUUAGAAAUGCAAAAAGUUCCACCACCGGGCCCCCCGUGGUUGGAGUGCUUAGACGGAUACAUCAUGGUCCUCGAGGGGUUGGCUGAACCCUGGGUGACGUCUUGCAGAUGUUUUACAGGGAACAUCGGUAGGCUGAGCGAGAAAAUCAUCCAGGACUUAUUUCAUGAUUAUUGCAGGCCAUCGGUCACUGCCUUCAACGCAUGCGGGUGUAGGCAGACCAUUUAGAUAUGCACCAUCAGCCUACCGUGCCUGCCCUAGGAACAUGGGCAGAUUUUUUUAUACUGAACGUGUGCUCCACCUACAGCCAUAGGACCUCGCAAAAAGUUGGAAACCUACAGACUUUGUGAUGAAUGCAGAAACUUCUAUUCCAUGUGCCUGUAUUCAUAUGAAAGACCAGAAGAGCAUUUGCUUAAUCAUCCCUGGAUGACAAAUGAUGAAUGGGCGUACACAGAUGAUGAGCCAGAUUCAGUAGAUGAGAUAAAAAGAGAUACGGAGUGGGCGUUUCCCUAAUCCAACGGGAAGACCCGCUGAGGACACCAUCCAUCCGGCAGAACCGCAUGGCCCACCAACAAUAGCCGCAUUGUUCUCCUUGUCUGCAAGGAAACGUGGGCUACAGAGACAAGCCAUUGUUUUAUUGUGUAAUGUUACCUGUGAUUCGAUAAACGAUAGCUGCCCGUGUUUUUGUCAGAGGAAUGUGCGAAUAUCUCAUCCACGCUCUUAGGUCACUGUGGAGUUCUGGCAAAGGCCCUGCUCGCACGCCUGCUCCGAGAGAAUUAAGAAAGCAGAAACCUUUCUAUUUAAGAACGGCAUUCCUGGGAAAGUAAAAGAGAGUGAGAGAGAGAUCAUUUUUCUUAAAUAAACAAUGCCCUGAAAUAAGUUCUGAUAUGGUGCCAGGCUUUGUCAUGUAAGGUUCCCUGUACUGAGAGAUCUGGUGUGUUAUUGAGAUAUCGUGACACAGGACGAUGUUUUCUCUCAAGUUUAGCCAGAAUGUCGGUUGGGAGGCAUUACCACAGGAUAUGAGCUAAGAGAGGGACCAACGAAACAAUGUGAAAGAGAGAGUUUAGUCAUCUAUCCAUCGGACAGCGUUCCCAAACUGCAGAGAUCGGAUUUACAAAAUUACAAACUCUAGACAGUGAAAUAUCACGUAAAACUAUAAUGAAAAACACUAUUCGAUUUUGUAUUUUGACUUCACUUAACAUCAAUUCACGUAAAGAACAUAAAGUUACGUGCCGUUUUAUGUGUCAAAGAGAGAUGGCGAUAGAGAGAAGCAUUAGAUAGUAAUAUACCAAGUCAAAUUAUUGUAUAUUUUACGAUCCAAUUUUUUAAAUGUAGCUUCAGGUGUUAUUGCUUUUAUAAUAUUACAUUUUCAUUAACUAGAAUACAUUUUGUAGUUGUUUUGUUGUGUUUAUGGGUGUUCAACAAUUCAUCGUGAUUUAUUGCGUUCUAAAGAAAUUAUGUUUACAUAAUAUAUGUCUGUGUACUGCGUCUAUUCAUUUUGUAUUCAUA